CCCAGACUCCUACGGGAGGCAGCAGUGGGGGAUAUUGCACAAUGGGGGGAACCCUGAUGCAGCGACGCCGCGUGGGUGAAGGAGCGUUUCGGCGCGUAAAGCCCUAUCGGCAGGGAAGAAGGAGGACGGUACCUGACUAAGAAGCCCCGGCUAACUACGUGCCAGCAGCCGCGGUAAUACGUAGGGGGCAAGCGUUAUCCGGAUUUACUGGGUGUAAAGGGGGCGCAGACGGCAGCGCAAGCCAGGAGUGAAAGCCCGGGGCCCAACCCCGGGACUGCUCUUGGAACUGCGCGGCUGGAGUGCAGGAGGGGCAGGCGGAAUUCCUGGUGUAGCGGUGAAAUGCGUAGAUAUCAGGAGGAACGCCGGUGGCGAAGGCGGCCUGCUGGACUGCGACUGACGUUGAGGCCCGAAAGCGUGGGGAGCAAACAGGAUUAGAUACCCGGGUA
This 446-nucleotide ribosomal RNA is filed under the name uncultured bacterium. RNAcentral describes it as "bacterial SSU rRNA". It matches the Rfam family "Bacterial small subunit ribosomal RNA", at positions 330 to 792 of the family's 1533-position model. The record is from RNAcentral.